GUAAGGGUUGCAGCUGGAGAAGUUUCUAGUCUACUAACUUCAGCUUCAGUGUGCAAUCUAUUACCAGCUUCUGGUUUUUGAGCAUCUUCUACUUGCGUAUCUGGCUCGGCACUCGCAUGUAGCACAUCAGGACUGCUGCUGCUACUUCCAGGUUUCAUUUGAACAUCUCUGUCGUAUGGACCUCUGUAAAUGCUAGGAGUCUUCUGUGAAUAGUAGCCAUCGGAUUUACUCCCAUCAUACUGGCUGAAGUCUAUUUCCUCCCGUUGGCUGUCAGGUAGAGGAAGCCUCUUCUUCUGAGAAGGCAUUAAACAUCUUAUCACAGACACUGAUGAUGCUGCACCAUAGCAGAAAGCCUGGAGGAGAGAAGACGAAGCAAAACAAAAACUCUAAACUGUUGCAGCCUACAGUUUUCAUACAGAAUUCAAAGCCAUAAAACUAAAAAAUACUGAAAUUGAACUACUGAUGAUCAAAUGGCUACACUAAAAUUUUCUGCAUGGCACAUCAGCUGCCACAUUUUAAUUCAUCUUUUGUGCUACAAUAAAGACACUGAAGGGUCUAACUCACUGCUUUCAUGUACAAAAUGCAAUGUCACACAUCACUGUGUAAUGAAUCUUAAGAAAGAAAUGGGAACGAAGUUGAAGUAAACUGUCACAGAAUCUGGGAUUUCAUGCAGUUUAAUGCUAUUUUAUCCCAAACUGAACUUAAAAAGAUUUUGCCACGGAAAAAAUUCCUCGUACAAAUAAUUUCACCUGUGCAAUGAAAUCUGUUCAACAGUACAAAUAAGAAAUAAAUAAUAAUACCUAAAUAAAUUUAAUAUGUAAAAAUAAAUUUGAGCUUCUAAAUACUAUUAAUGCAUACAAACCAGAAUGAACAGAGCCAUCAUGAUUAGCACCGGAACCUGCAGAAUCAGUGGUAUCUCCUUCAUAAGCGCUCUGAUGAACUCACCAAUACCUUGUCCCACAUGCUUCAGAGGCUCAGUUACAAAGGUGGUAAAAGUAAUAGCCAAUGCCUAGAGAAGAACAAACACAAGCCUGGUGUUGGGACGGGUGAUAAGGAAACACAGAGUCUCUCUGGGUCUGGCUUUUACCUUUGUUGGUGGAACCAGCAAAACAGGGUUUACUAGCAGAGUUUCAUAGUACUUCUGACAGGGAUCGUCCUGAUAUGUCCACUGUCUUCUGAGCCAUCCUGAAGUCAAAGCAGGGAUGCAUUUUCACUACUUGUUAAAACAUAUUUUAUGACACAGUA
RNAcentral lists this long non-coding RNA (1245 nucleotides) under Gallus gallus (chicken). The record is from RNAcentral. Lineage: Eukaryota; Metazoa; Chordata; Aves; Galliformes; Phasianidae.